AUUCACCUCUGGAAGUCAUUGGUUCUGUGACAUCAGAUGUUCCGGAGAACUCUGAGCUCAAGGCACUCGUGGGAAGGUAGUGUGGUGUAUGGGUUCAAGCCAGGGUGACAACUGUGUACCCCCUGGCAUGGUACCCACCUGACUGAGACUCAGAUUGUCCCCACGUCAAAUAAGGACAACAUUCUCUACAAUCAAAUGUGACGUUGGUCUCAACCUUUCUGUAACUCCAAAAGCCUGGUGGGAAAGAAAGGAGGCGACGACCCCAGCCAACCUCAAGAAGUUAAGGUGGAAGUGAAAUGCAGAGCUUUCUGAAAAAGUCCCUUAUGAGGAGAAUAAAGAAUUCUGCUGCCAAACAAGUUGAAGAGAUAGAAUUUGUUUAUCACGGUGGAGGCUUCAAGAUCACACAUCUCCAUUAGAGUCACGUGCGUCUUAAAUACCCACCAUUAUCAAGAGAAAAAUUAAGCCAAGUGUCUGAUAAGAAGAUGUGCUACACAGUCCAACAAUCUUCCGUGUUGUCAAGACGUCAGACGCAGGCAGCAAAAACAACUGAAUGAAAUAAUUGAAUUCCCACCAUGGACGAAAGAGGGCUUCGAAGUUGGAGCAAAAGUAUUUGUGGAGUGCGGGGAGAACCCAGAGCUUCUGGUA
Neofelis nebulosa (Clouded leopard) is the source of this 645-nucleotide long non-coding RNA. RefSeq lists it as uncharacterized. The transcript is spliced from 4 exons. The record is from RefSeq and is a predicted model, not a curated record. NCBI's taxonomy places the organism in Eukaryota, Metazoa, Chordata, Mammalia, Carnivora, Felidae.